CGAAGGAUGCAAGCGUUAUCCGGAAUUAUUGGGUUUAAAGGGUGCGUAGGCGGACUGAUAAGUCAGUGGUGAAAGCCUGCAGCUUAACUGCAGAAUUGCCGUUGAUACUGUCAGUCUUGAGUACAGUUGAGGUAGGCGGAAUGUGUCAUGUAGCGGUGAAAUGCUUAGAUAUGACACAGAACACCGAUUGCGAAGGCAGCUUGCUAAGCUGUAACUGACGCUGAGGCACGAAAAGCGUGGGGAGCAAA
This 248-nucleotide ribosomal RNA is filed under the name uncultured bacterium. Its description in RNAcentral is "partial 16S ribosomal RNA". It matches the Rfam family "Bacterial small subunit ribosomal RNA", at positions 526 to 772 of the family's 1533-position model. The record is from RNAcentral.